GGGCCCGUGGCGCAGAAUGGAUAGCGCGGCGGCCUUCGGAGCCGGAGGUCGUGGGUUCAAGUCCCACCGGGCCCG
Molecule: transfer RNA, 75 nt
Filed under: Candidatus Caldarchaeum subterraneum
Lineage: Archaea; Thermoproteati; Nitrososphaerota; Candidatus Caldarchaeales; Candidatus Caldarchaeaceae
Also listed under: 3 other names
Description: tRNA-Arg (TCG) (tRNA-Arg-TCG-1-1)
Rfam family: tRNA
About the family: Transfer RNA (tRNA) molecules are approximately 80 nucleotides in length. Their secondary structure includes four short double-helical elements and three loops (D, anti-codon, and T loops).
Source: Rfam by way of RNAcentral